AUAACCGUACCAUAUAUUUACUCGUGGCUCCAUCUUUUGAUUUCAAAACCCUAACAUUUUACAGUUCUCUCGCCCCUGCGCUUCGUCGUCCACAGAUCGAAUUCGAGGGAAAAAUGAGCGGCCGUGCCAGCAGAACAGUGUAUGUCGGCAAUCUCCCGGGUGAUAUUCGUGAAAAGGAAGUGGAAGAUUUAUUUUAUAAGUAUGGUCGCAUAGCUCACAUUGAUCUCAAGGUUCCACCAAGGCCUCCAGGUUAUGCAUUUGUUGAGUUUGAAGAUGCGGAAGAUGCUCAAGAUGCUAUUCGUGGUCGUGAUGGCUAUGAUUUUGAUGGUCAUAGGUUGCGUGUGGAGCUUGCUCAUGGUGGUCGUGGUCAUUCAUCUUCCAGUGAUCGUCAUAGUAGUUAUGGAGGCAGCCGAGGUGGCCGUGGAGUAUCUCGGCGCUCUGAUUAUCGUGUAUUAGUCACAGGAUUACCUUCUUCUGCUUCAUGGCAAGACUUAAAGGAUCAUAUGCGGCGAGCUGGGGAUGUUUGUUUCUCCCAAGUGUUCCGUGAUGGUAGUGGAACCACAGGGAUUGUGGAUUACACCAACCUUGAUGACAUGAAGUAUGCAAUUAAAAAACUUGAUGACUCUGAGUUUCGCAAUGCAUUUUCUCGGGCAUAUGUUCGUGUGAGAGAAUAUGAUUCAAAGAAGGAUCGCUCCAGGAGUCCUAGUCGUGGGCGGUCAUAUUCUAGAGAGAGGACUUGUAGUCGCAGUCGCAGUCGUAGCAGAGGCCGAAGUAGGAGCAAGAGCCGCAGUAGGAGCAAGAGCCGCAGUAGGAGCAGCAAGUCCCCAAAAGCUAAAUCUUCCCAGCGAUCACCUGUUAAAUCUCGAUCAAGGUCUGUUUCCCCUGCUCGCUCUCGGUCAAAGUCACCAUCUCUUUCUGGGCAGAAUGUUAGACAGGGUGAAAUAAACAACGUAAAAGUAUUGAAAGUGAACUAAUUCUUUUGUAUUGCUCAAAAACUGGUCAGAAAGUGGUUGAUAGCAACGGAUUUGAAAUUACCUUACCGGGUGCUAUGUGUUUGCAUGUGGUAUUGUGGUUUGUACAAUUCCCUUGUAUGGGAAAACCACCCUUUUCUUCCAUAGUCUUGGAUCAUUCUGAGAAUGGUGGAGAUGAAUACUUGACAGACUUCAAAUUAGUCUGGGCAAUGUGUGGGACCCCCUCUAUUGGAAUGUUGGAUAUGGAAAUAUGCGGCAUACUGGGGAUUGGAUAUUAGUAUCCUGAUGGGAUUUGAUUCAUUUGCCUUCAAUGCUUUUGGUUGAGAAGGUAUGCUGUUUUUUAGAUGGGCAGCUUUGAAAACCAUCUGGUACCCCCUGUUCUAAUGCUUUUAGCAAUGCAAUGUCCAUGGGUGCUAGAUUUGGAUCAAAGGAGAUCAUGGAUUGCAAUAAUAGAGCUGGAUAUCUUGGACUAAGUGCUAUUUGGACUUGGAACUCAUCAUCACUUUCAUUUACAUUUUCUGCUGCAAGAUUUGCAAAGCUAUAGGACGCACUAUCUGGAUUCAUUGUGGACUUUUUGAGGCACAGUAGGGAAGAAUGCUCCUCGCCCGUCCACUGGUGUCUCUAUAAUAUAUUGGUUCCUAUAGAUUGAAGUUUUCUAAUUUUAGGUCUUCACUUUGGAGUCUUAAGUUUUUGAAUUGGCGUAUAAUCUUCAUAGUUGAACUGCUAAAAUACUAUUUUUCUAUCUCACGUAUAUAAUGUGGACGAGGCGUCAGGCUCUUGGAUCACAUUUGGUAAAAGAGGCGUGGAUUUUAAAUUUUGGUUAUUUCUGGACAUUUUGCAGAUCCCGAUCAAGAUCCAGAUCUCCAUUGCCCAAUCGUGAGAAACGUACUAGUAAAAGUCC
Molecule: RNA transcript, 1872 nt
Organism: Cucurbita maxima (winter squash)
Lineage: Eukaryota; Viridiplantae; Streptophyta; Magnoliopsida; Cucurbitales; Cucurbitaceae
Gene name: serine/arginine-rich-splicing factor SR34-like
Exons: 14
Source: RefSeq, a predicted model, not a curated record